Molecule: RNA transcript, 6175 nt
Organism: Saccostrea echinata
Lineage: Eukaryota; Metazoa; Mollusca; Bivalvia; Ostreida; Ostreidae
Gene name: calpain-15-like
Exons: 12
Source: RefSeq, a predicted model, not a curated record
GAGAGUGAUGGAGUGAGGUAGGAAUGCAUGAACCAAUGGAAGUGGACGGAAGUUGGCUGUGCAGCCAGUGUACCCUCACCAACAGCGAGCUCACCAACGUCUGCCAGGCGUGCGGGUCAGAACAGAGACCGGCUGUGUUUAACAUCAAGGAUACAAUCGACAGAAGUAAAGGAGCGAUUCCGAAAACAAAGGUCAGAAGGUCAAAGCCCUUAACUACCAGACCCUCUCCCCUUGGAGGGCCGGGAACCAGCACUCAGCAACCGAUUCUUGUGGAUAGCGAUGAAGUGGUGGAUGAUGUGUGGAAAUGUGGAAAUUGUAACAUGAAAAACUCUGGGAAGGUGGAGAUCUGCAUAAGUUGUAAUGAGAAUAAAUUCAAAGAAGUCAUAAUGAUUAACGACGAUGAUGAAUAUGUUGUUAAGUACAACCACUGUAAGCCAGAUAAUGAUAAUAAAGUAGAAACUGGUGGCUCGGACCAAAGCAAGGAUAAAACAGAGGCUGUAAAUGGUCAGAAAAGUGAGGAAGUUUGGCAUUGUCACAGGUGUACACUAAAAAAUCCAAAAGAGAACAAAAACUGUGAAGUGUGUCAUUGUCCACAGGAAAUUAGAUUACCCACUCUGGAUUCUGUGUCCGAGUUUGAUGCUGCGAAGGUGGAGUACCCCACCACGAGUAAACGUGGAGAACCGGAUGGGAUGGAGUGUGAUUUUCAGGCAGGUGGAGCCACCGCAAAUUCACCGCAACCAAAAGCCAAACCUGGAGUUAACCCUAACAAUAGAAAGAAACUCCACCACCCACGAGCAAAGUCAGAUCCAGUGUUUAUAGAAGAUGGUGGAGAAUGGACAUGUUCUUUGUGUAGUUUUGCUUGUAACCCAAGCUGGAGCCCUAAAUGUACAAAAUGUCUGAAGGGCCAGAUUCCAGUGGGUGUUCCUGGAGCCAACCACAGAGUUAAAACUCCAGGAGAAAAAUUCCCUGCUAUCAACAAACAGCAUUCCCCUCUUAGGAAGGCUCAUUCCUCUCCUAGACAAUCACCUGACUCUGGUGAUCAGGCUGAGAAAAUGGACAAAAGAUUCUGGGUGUGUAAUCGCUGCACAUUCCACAAUCUUGUCACAGAGCGAUCCUGUAAGAUGUGCGGGGGUCGUAGAUCUACGUCAGAACUUGACACAAAGAACUAUUGGAGCUGCGGUAAGUGUACUCUCCAUAAUCCCAUUAACAGCACUUUAUGUGCAGCCUGUGGAUUUAAAAGGGAGACUGCAAACUCUGAGCCACCAGAACACAAAAGAAAGACACCUGUGUCUGAAUCGAAAGUAACUAGAACUUCUAAAUCUGCUGAUAAACAAGAGUCAGACAAGAAAGUUAGAGAGGAUGGUGCUAAAACUUCACCUGAGAGUACGGCUACCAGUAAAACAACUAAUAGCUUGGAGAACAACAAAGUUCAAGGAAAGGAGCAGGAAAAAGAAAAGACGCCAAAAUCUUCACAGCAGAAGGAUAAGACACCGAAGUCAUGGCUGGAGAAGGAUAAGACACCAAAGUCAUCGCUGGAGAGGGAUAAAACUCCCAAGUCAUCACUGGAGAAAAAUAAGGACAAAGAAAAGGGAAAUAAAAGUUUAGAGAAGGAGAAAUCCAGUAAAAGCUUAGAAAAAGCCAAAAACAAAAGUCUGGAGAAGAAUAACAAAAGUUUGGAGAAAGAUAAACUGUGGUCUUGUUCACAAUGUACAUACAAAAAUCCACUGAAAAUGGCAGACUGUCAAAUGUGUGGCAGUGGCAAAUCGCACAGAAAACAUUUUGACCCAAAUCUAAUCACACUUCUCAGACAGCCAAGCUCAUUGAUGGAAGAUAUCCGAAAAAUCGAGGAAAAUGAGGCUCUGGAACUCUGGCAACACAUCACUUUGUUCUGUAGGCAGCACAACGACCAUUUUGUGGACGAUUCCUUUCCUCCCAUUCCAAAGUCUGUCUUCAUCAAUGAGGACAAACCCUUCACAAAGACACCUAUCCAAUGGCUACGACCAACAGAAAUCGCCACAUCUCAACGAGGUGACGAGAAGGUCAAAUGGGCAGUGUGUAGGACGCCUUUACCAGACGACAUCUCUCAGGGACUUCUGGGAAACUGCUGGUUUCUCAGUGCCUUAGCUGUGUUGGCGGAGCGUCCAGAACUCGUAGAGAACAUCAUUCUGACUAAGAACUACUGUCCACAAGGGGCCUACCAGGUCCGUCUCUGUAAGGACGGCAAAUGGCAGAUUGUCCUGAUUGAUGACCUUUUGCCCUGUGACCACCACAAACGGCUUGUCUUCUCUCAGGCCAAGAGAAGACAACUGUGGGUGCCUCUGAUAGAGAAAGCUAUGGCCAAGUUACAUGGUAGCUAUGAAAGUCUGGUAGCAGGGAAGUGUAUAGAGGGACUGGCUACUCUAACAGGUGCCCCUUGUGACAACAUAGAACUACAGCCUGGGCCACAGAGAGAAGACAUAGAUCCAAAUUUAAUUUGGGCCAAACUUCUUAGCUGCAGGGAGUCAGGAUUUCUGAUGGGGGCCUCCUGUGGGGGAGGGAACAUGAAGACAGAGGACAAGGUUUAUGAGGAGAAAGGACUGCGACCUAGACACGCCUACUCCAUUCUGGAUGUCAAGGACAUUGACGGAAAUAGAUUGUUAAGGUUACGUAACCCAUGGGGGAGGUUUUCUUGGAACGGUGAUUGGAGUGACAACUCGACCAAGUGGGCCAACAUUAGUACCCGGGCCAAACAGGAUUUGAUGUUGUACGGUCACACAUCAGGAGUCUUCUGGAUAUCACUAGAAGAUGUUCUCAAAUACUUUGACAGUGUGGACAUUUGUAAGGUACGUCCUGAUUGGAGGGAGACUCGUGUGGAGGGAACAUUCCCAGCCAAUGCCAGAGAGGUUUUCAAAAUGGUCAAGUUGACUGUGUUCUACACCACAGAGGUGGAAGUGGGUGUGUUUCAGGAGGGGGUCAGGAGUAAUGACAACAAAAACCCAGCUGACCUUUGUGUACUGAUCCUCCGGGAUUCCCCUAAUGGUGUCCAGGCUUUUGGACCACUAGUGGCCUGCAGUAAUCGUCAGAUAAAGAGCUUUGUGGGGUGUAACACAAUGCUGGAACCUGGGGAAUAUGUGGUGCUGCCUCUGGCAUUCAAUUUCUGGACUUUGUCUACGAAGCCUACAGAACGGUAUAGCUACGUGCUCUCUGUCCACAGUUCUAAGGCAGUAAUGGUGGAAGAAAUUGAGACUCGUACCCAGAAAUACGAAAACACCCUGGCUGAUGCCGUAAUACAGCUCGCUCUGGCCAAGGGGAAGCAAGAGGGGGUACGAGACACUGUUUCGGUGUAUUCAUUGAUGCAUGGUUGGUCCGGCGGUCUGUUUGUGGUUGAGAAUCGCUGUAGUGAUCGAAGUCUCCAUAUGAAGUGUGACUGUGUAGAUAGUUCUAAUGUGGUGUCUACCCGUGGUAGUCUCACCACACUUGACUCCAUCCCUCCACUACACAGGUAAGUGUGAUUGUGUAGAUAGUUCUAAUGUGGUGUCCACUCGUGGUAGUCUCACCACACUUGACUCCAUCCCUCCACUACACAGACAAGUGAUUAUGGUGCUGACUCAGCUGGAGAGAAGUGCCUCAUACCAUCUCUCUCGCCGCCUGAUUCACCGCAUGCACUGGUCACCCACAGGACUGGCUGACUGGGCAGCAGCUGGAGUAAACCACGAUCCACCGCUGACACUCCACGUGGAGGGACUUCACGCUCCAAGGCCUUUAUAAGGAAAAUUGACAUUUAAUGAUAUCAAUUCUUAAACCUUCACCAAAGAGACUCAGGCAAAUUGAUCUGUGUAGAGAUAUACAUAUAUAUCCAACAUUAGUCUGUUUCUGAUAAUAUAAACAGUGGAGUAAAUUCAAUAUAUGAUUCAACAUUUUUUUCUCAAUCAUAUCUGUAUAUACUUUUUGGUGUAAAAAAAAAUCUGAUUCUCAAAUUUCAAGCCAUGCCAUUCACUAGUGUGAUAGUGACUUGUAUUAUGUAUGGAAUUUUAAAUCAUGAACAUUCCUUAACAUUCGAUAUGUGAAUGACAGAUUUUGUUGAAAGAUUAAAAGAUUUUUUUACAGGAAGGUUGUAUGCUGUUACUCUCUACUUUUGAUGAGGAAUACUUUUUGGGUAUUUCUAAUGUUGUCUUUAAAUUUCAGUAUUUCAUCAAAGAGCAUUAUUAUUGGUUGUGAUCAUUCUAUGUACUCUAAAGCUUGUACAUUUAUUUUUGUACUUGAACGUGUGAAGUUUUUUUUUUUAUUCAUGCCUGUUGACCAAGAGUUUUGUUGGAAAAGCAACCCUUGUAUCUCAGUUACCAUGUUUACAGUUUUUGUAAUUUAAUUCUGUAAGGAUUUCCUUUUGUGCUUUAGGAAUUACCAAUAGAUCUGUAAAUCAUGCCUGUUUAAUUGAAUCAGUAAGCAAUUAACAACAGUUAAAAGAAACGUCUUGAUGUAUUUUUUUUUUAAUAUUUUAAAUUUACGGAGAGGAACAGUUGAAAGCUGUACAAAAAGACCCAGUAUAUGGUUUUAUUAUUUGUAAUAAAUAAUGUUUUGAUGUAAUGAAAUUGACUUCAACUGAAUGGAUAAAAUUUUUCUGAUUGCAUGCAUAUUUUCUUAAAGUUUUUCUAAAACUGCGGUGUUAUAUUCUUCUUGAAGUGUUAUCAUGCACAGUAAAGUUAUAAGGUUAUUGCUAAGCAUGCAGUUUACAUAUACAUAUAUACUAGUACAUUGUAUAUAAUAGAAUUUUGUAAUUUUGUCAGGGAGAUUAAAAAACUAAGUUGUGAAAAUUUUGUAUAUAUAUUUUUAACCCGCUCAAAUGCAUGCUUUGGUGCAGUGAUAUGUAGCAUUUAAUAUCUGAACAUUUAUCAGUACAUUUAGUGUUUGACAAGAGUGGAGAUACUGUUUUUGUUUGGUUACCAUGUGAAUGUGUCAGUUUAAUGCAAUAAGUGGCAUUUAAUAACACCAUAUGACAAUCCAUCUACCUCCAGAAUAGGUCUGAGUUUUUAUGAAAACUUUAUUUUAAAAAAUGAUGUUUUUGUGUAACAUCUGGGUAAGUCAGUGUCAUUAAGUGAUUCUAUGAGGGCAUAUAUUGAAUAGGAAUCAGAUUGAAUUGGUUUCCUUUUUAACAAAAUCAUUUUGAAUAACAGUUUUGAUAUUCCCACAUAAACCAAUUAUUGUAUAUGUAUUGGUUUAUAUCUGUACAGAAAUCUGUACUCAGUGUGUGAGUUCCCUCCCCUUCAACUAAAACUGGAAACGUGUCUCCUUAAAAUCCAAGAUUGAGUUUAAAAGUUAGGGUUAAUCAUGGAAAAAGAAAUGUGUACAUUCCAGAAUAUAAUUUUUUAGGCUUCAAACCCCCAAAAUGGGGGUUAAAUUCAUUUGAGAAGAAUAUUUUUAUCUCACAAGUAUUGUAGCCUAGUGAACAAGUACAUGUUGUAUUACCUUUAUGUCAUCUUAGUUCUGAUUCAUUCAGUAUUUUUAACUAUUUACCGAAUUUUCUUUAUGUUUUUUGAGUAAAGGAUUGCUUCAGUGAUCAAAUUUUAUUUUUAUAAUUAAUGUUGAGAAGCACUGUAUACUUCCUAAAAUCUCAUAUAUUUUAAUAGGUACAAUCAUAUUUACAGAAAAUUAACAGUACUGUGUAAAGUAAAUUGUUAUGCUGAAGUUAGGUCAAUUGUUGAUAAGCUCAGAAAACGUUGGAGUUGUAACAAAUUCUGGUUGUAUCAGAAAUUUGUUUUGACCCUCAGAGUUUAAUUUGAAUUAGAUUUAUGUGAUAACACCAGUGACACUCAUUUUUAUGGCAUCAAGCAAAGAUUGAGCAUCAUUUAUUAUUUUUUGGAUUUAGUAAAAGCAGAGGUUCCAGAUGGGCCUAAUGAUGUGUAAGAUCUCGGUGGUUUUGACAGGACAAUGUUUCAUGGAAAAUUCUAAGACUUUGAAACAAAUUAUUGCCAACUAUUUCACACAUCACUUUUCAAAUGUAUUGUUUUUCAUAUUAUGUAUUAAGAUCUUUUGACAGAACAGUCAGUGUUCUUUAGAUAAGGUUUUGUUUGAUAGUGCUAUCUUAUAAGUUUAUUUUCCUCAGACUUACAUAAAAGGUUUUGUUUUUUUAGAGAUGUUUUCUUGUGCAAUAUGUGAUAGUUACAUCAAGAUUUUAAUAAAGAAAUUUAUUUGUACAUUU